RNAcentral lists this long non-coding RNA (341 nucleotides) under Lathyrus oleraceus (garden pea). Its description in RNAcentral is "Pisum sativum (pea) long non-coding RNA (PSAT_LNC033972)". The record is from RNAcentral. Lineage: Eukaryota; Viridiplantae; Streptophyta; Magnoliopsida; Fabales; Fabaceae.
AAACUUAUUCAAUUUUGUUUGGUGUAGAAAUACUGAUGUAUUGUUUAUCUGUGUAUGCAAGGUUCAAAUUUGAAGUUGACAUUGUUUGAUUCAAAAAUCAAAAGAACAUCUCAAGCAAUUCGGAAGGAAAAAAGAGAAGCACUUCAAGCUAAAUAAGAACUUGAAGUAAAGAUGGAUAAUCUACCACGAAAAAUGAUAGGGGGUUAUUGUAGGAGGAAUGAUGCUAGACAAAUAUCCUUAGGUUUUCAACCAACUAACCCUGUAACUUUUGAAAUAAAAAAAGUAUGCACUUUCAGGUUUAAAAGAUAACUCGUUCGAUGGGCAAGCUAUCAGAGAUCCUU